This 518-nucleotide ribosomal RNA is filed under the name Klebsiella pneumoniae. Its description in RNAcentral is "bacterial SSU rRNA". It matches the Rfam family "Bacterial small subunit ribosomal RNA", at positions 1014 to 1533 of the family's 1533-position model. Lineage: Bacteria; Pseudomonadati; Pseudomonadota; Gammaproteobacteria; Enterobacterales; Enterobacteriaceae. RNAcentral also lists the same sequence under 5 other names. The record is from RNAcentral.
UGCCUUCGGGAACUGUGAGACAGGUGCUGCAUGGCUGUCGUCAGCUCGUGUUGUGAAAUGUUGGGUUAAGUCCCGCAACGAGCGCAACCCUUAUCCUUUGUUGCCAGCGGUUCGGCCGGGAACUCAAAGGAGACUGCCAGUGAUAAACUGGAGGAAGGUGGGGAUGACGUCAAGUCAUCAUGGCCCUUACGACCAGGGCUACACACGUGCUACAAUGGCAUAUACAAAGAGAAGCGACCUCGCGAGAGCAAGCGGACCUCAUAAAGUAUGUCGUAGUCCGGAUUGGAGUCUGCAACUCGACUCCAUGAAGUCGGAAUCGCUAGUAAUCGUAGAUCAGAAUGCUACGGUGAAUACGUUCCCGGGCCUUGUACACACCGCCCGUCACACCAUGGGAGUGGGUUGCAAAAGAAGUAGGUAGCUUAACCUUCGGGAGGGCGCUUACCACUUUGUGAUUCAUGACUGGGGUGAAGUCGUAACAAGGUAACCGUAGGGGAACCUGCGGUUGGAUCACCUCCUUA